AUUGAACGCUGGCGGCAGGCCUAACACAUGCAAGUCGAACGGUAACAGGAAGCAGCUUGCUGCUUCGCUGACGAGUGGCGGACGGGUGAGUAAUGUCUGGGAAACUGCCUGAUGGAGGGGGAUAACUACUGGAAACGGUAGCUAAUACCGCAUAACGUCGCAAGACCAAAGAGGGGGACCUUAGGGCCUCUUGCCAUCGGAUGUGCCCAGAUGGGAUUAGCUAGUAGGUGGGGUAACGGCUCACCUAGGCGACGAUCCCUAGCUGGUCUGAGAGGAUGACCAGCCACACUGGAACUGAGACACGGUCCAGACACCUACGGAAGGCAGCGAUUGGGAAUAUUGCACAAUGGGCGCAAGCCUGAUGCAGCCGUGCCGCGUGUAUGAAGAAGGCCUUCGGGUUGUAAAGUACUUUCAGCGGGGAGGAAGGGAGUAAAGUUAAUACCUUUGCUCAUUGACGUUACCCGCAGAAGAAGCACCGGCUAACUCCGUG
RNAcentral lists this ribosomal RNA (490 nucleotides) under uncultured bacterium. Its description in RNAcentral is "partial 16S ribosomal RNA". It matches the Rfam family "Bacterial small subunit ribosomal RNA", at positions 30 to 507 of the family's 1533-position model. The record is from RNAcentral.